AAUGUGGCUGCAGUCCGUGCUGCUGCCUCUCCUCAGGCUGUACCUCUGCGGAAUGAAAGUUCUCUUCUAUCAGAUGUUCAACAGAUCUUUCACGCUACCAGGGCUACAAGGGGCUCCAGGAGGCCAAAGCAUGCUGGGAGCGAUGCACACCGACAAAUUGAAAGUCGUCAUCUGGUUCUCGUGGGCGUUGCCCUGGAUGCCGUGCAGCAUGGCCAACAGGUAGCGCAGCAACACGGCAUUUUCUUUGGGCAGGCGGUAAAUCAUCCUGCAGAGAUACACAACCAGGGAAUACAAUGAUGUAACAGUCUGUAGGUGAAGAUCAGCCACAUGUUCAAGCAUCUGGAAAAACAUGCUGUGUCCAAUAAUUUAACGGAAGGAUAAAUAAAACCAUAUAGAGUGUGAGCAUGUUACCUCUUUAUGUCCUGCACUUGUUCUUCCUCCUCCUCCUCCUCUUCCUCCAGCACAUCCAUCCAUUCUUCAUGCAGCUCACAACAGAACAAGCUGCUUGGGAUGCUGCGCAAGAAAUCCUGAAAACAUGCGCACAUCACAUUAAAUUCAUUGUUUGUAUUUCCAGGAGAGUUGGUGUAAAACCUUUAUCACUUGGUAUAAAAGAGAUUUGAUUGAGACAAUAUCAAUACAACCAUUAAUAUAAAAGAUCUCCGGUGCUGUCGUGUAAAUAUGCGACAUGCACUCGUGCUCAGAGGCUCUUUGUUAUCCCUCCAGAUAAUAAGAGAUUAUAAUCCAGGCUGCUGUGAACAGCUUGUCCUGGUAACAUAGCCGGGGAAGCGGAUUCGUUUUGUGCUUACUGAUUUGAGUCAAUAAGGUGACGAACACAUGCACGCCCUCAAAAACUGUGCCACUACGUUGCUAGAUGUUUCUAAAACCCCCUGGUCUCAUUAAAGAUGAAUAUGAAGAUGAAGGGGCAAAGUGCUUUUUUGAAUAAUCCACCUAAAACAUACACGCUCAUACUGUCUCACCUUAAAGACUCCGGCAAUGAGGAAGACGUGGUCUCUUGUCAGAGGGAGUUGAAACUCUCCGGCGUCCAGAGAGUCCCGCAGCUCCCUGACGGCCCGAGCGCCCGCCGGCCGUCGGAAGAUUCCCCGCGUCCACGAGCCCUCGUGGUAGAGGAACGCCAUCAUGUCCUGGUGAGAGCGGGAGAGAGGAGGGUGUAUUUCUUGCUUUUUCUUUACAGAACUGAGUGAGACUCACCAUCACUGGCUUUGGCAGAGCGUCCUCUACGCAGACAGAGCUGAGCGGCAGGCCGAACAGGCAGCCGCGUGGCGCGCCGGCGAGGGACAGCUCAUUCAGGUGAGGGGAGGAGCCUCUCCAGAAGGCCCAGGUGAUGAGGGAACGCCUCCUUCUAAAUGGCUUCUGAGACCACUCUAACAACCAAAAGAUGACACGAUAUCCCAGAAUGCAUCAGCAAAAACACUCAAUCUGCUAUUUUUAUCACUUUCUUUUCAAUGAAUGAAUAGUGACAUCACCUGCAGGUAUGUGCAGCGUUUCAAUGGGUCGCGGCUUCAUGAUGAACUGGCACUGCUUGUACACCUGCAUCUGCUCCACCUGCAUGGCCCUCUGUCCGUCGGCAUCCCUUCCGCCGCCUCCCGGAGACAUCGUGUGUCUCACAUGACUCAUCUGGAUGCUGAAGGGAAACUCAUGACCUGAGACAGGAAGGAGAAGACGGCAGCAUCACUCCCUGGAGGCCUUUGAUAGAGUAUCAAACAUCAACAGCACCAUAACGUGGUAUUAUUAGUCAGCGCACACGCUGUGACCCCCUCGCUGCCACCCUGAAGGAGGCCGAUUACACAGCAAACACUCUUCUCUGGGAAUGACUGCUUACGAGUGUGUUUAAAAAAACCGCCUUGACACUUAGAGCAGCGCCCCCCUUUCAGAAGCAGAAAGAAAAGGCCACGCAGCAAUUUAAAGACAGGAUCAGAUAUUUUGUCGAUCUGGUCUAGACCUCACUCACUGACCAAUCAGAGGGUAGGGGGCGUUGUCCCUCUUGGAGAUGACCCACAACUGGAAGUCUUUCACGUUUCCCUGAGCGAAACAGAGACACAGACGGUCAGAAAAACAAGCCGUGCAACGAGACGGCCUCAGAGAAAGAAAACAACCACACGGACUGUCCCUCUGAGGAGAAAUGAAUUUUUAGGAGACGCAAAUGUGACAAAGAAUGUUUUUUCUCUCAGCUUUUACAUGCUGUGUGGUAAUAUCACAUGUAACAAUAGGCUGCAGGGCUUCUGUGAAAACUUCCCCCUCUGUUGUUCUGUGUUUGGGAGUUGAAAAUAAAUCGGAUAACUUUUUGGAC
Long non-coding RNA from Anarrhichthys ocellatus (wolf-eel), 2308 nucleotides. RefSeq lists it as uncharacterized. Lineage: Eukaryota; Metazoa; Chordata; Actinopteri; Perciformes; Anarhichadidae. The transcript has 2 exons. The record is from RefSeq and is a predicted model, not a curated record.